CAAUAGCGUAUAUUAAAGUUGUUGCAGUUAAAAAGCUCGUAGUUGGAUUUGUGGCGUACGGUGUGUUCCGGGCACUUGUUGUCUGAGUAACCUGCUGUUGCCAUCCUUGGGUGGAACCUGUGUGGCAUUAGGUUGUCGCGCAGGGGAUGCCCAUCAUUUACUGUGAAAAAAUUAGAGUGUUCAAAGCAGGCUUAUGCCGUUGAAUAUAUUAGCAUGGAAUAAUGAGAUAGGACUUUUUUGCUAUUUUGUUGGUUUGCGCAAGAAGGUAAUGAUUAAUAGGGACAGUUGGGGGUAUUCGUAUUCCAUUGUCAGAGGUGAAAUUCUUGGAUUUUUGGAAGACGAACUACUGCGAAAGCAUUUACCAAGGAUGUUUUCAUUAA
RNAcentral lists this ribosomal RNA (380 nucleotides) under uncultured eukaryote. RNAcentral's name for it is "partial 18S ribosomal RNA". It matches the Rfam family "Eukaryotic small subunit ribosomal RNA", at positions 592 to 976 of the family's 1831-position model. The record is from RNAcentral.